AACGAACGCUGGCGGCACGCUUAACACAUGCAAGUCGAACGAAAUCAUGGGGCUUGCUCCAUGGUUUAGUGGCGCACGGGUGAGUAACACGUGGCUACCUGCCCAUCGAUGGUGGAUAACUCCGGGAAACUGGAGCUAAUACAGCAUACGCUCGAGAGAGGAAAGGCCGAAAGGUCGUCGAUGGAGGGGGCUGCGUCUGAUUAGGUAGUUGGUGAGGUAAUGGCCCACCAAGCCUAUGAUCAGUAGCUGGUCUGAGAGGAUGGUCAGCCACACUGGAACUGAGAUACGGUCCAGACUCCUACGGGAGGCAGCAGUGGGGAAUAUUGGACAAUGGGGGAAACCCUGAUCCGGCGAUGCCGCGUGAGUGAUGAAGGCCUUAGGGUUGUAAAGCUCUUUUGACAGGGACGAUGAUGACGGUACCUGUAGAAUAAGCACCGGCUAACUCUGUGCCAGCAGCCGCGGUAAUACAGAGGGUGCUAGCGUUGUUCGGAAUUACUGGGCGUAAAGGGCGUGUAGGCGGUUGCGUAAGUCAGAUGUUAAAGACCUGGGCUUAACCUAGGGGGUGCGUUUGAUACUGCGUGACUAGAGAGCAGGAGAGGAGAAUGGAAUUUCCGGUGUAGAGGUGAAAUUCGUAGAUAUCGGAAGGAACACCAGUGGCGAAGGCGAUUCUCUGGACUGUUUCUGACGCUGAGGCGCGAAAGCGUGGGGAGCAAACAGGAUUAGAUACCCUGGUAGUCCACGCCUUAAACGAUGGAAGCUAGGUGCUGGGAUUUGUUUUCGGUGCCGUCGCUAACGCAUUAAGCUUCCCGCCUGGGGAGUACGGUCGCAAGAUUAAAACUCAAAGGAAUUGACGGGGACCCGCACAAGCGGUGGAGCAUGUGGUUUAAUUCGAAGCAACGCGAAAAACCUUACCCGCUUUUGACAUAGGGAUCGAGAGUCCAGGAGACUGGAUUCGUCGGUUCGGCCGGAUCCUAUACAGGUGCUGCAUGGCUGUCGUCAGCUCGUGUCGUGAGAUGUUGGGUUAAGUCCCGCAACGAGCGCAACCCUUAUUCGUAGUUGCCAUCACGUUAUGGUGGGCACUUUACGAAAACCGCCGCUGAUAAAGUGGAGGAAGGUAGGGAUGACGUCAAGUCCUCAUGGCCCUUAUGGGCGGGGCUACACACGUGCUACAAUGGUGGUGACAAAGAGAUGCAAGUGGGCGACCAUGAGCCAAUCUUAAAAAGCCAUCUCAGUUCAGAUUGCACUCUGCAACUCGAGUGCAUGAAGUUGGAAUCGCUAGUAAUCGCGAAUCAGCAUGUCGCGGUGAAUACGUUCUCGGGU
RNAcentral lists this ribosomal RNA (1320 nucleotides) under uncultured Alphaproteobacteria bacterium. RNAcentral describes it as "bacterial SSU rRNA". It matches the Rfam family "Bacterial small subunit ribosomal RNA", at positions 28 to 1379 of the family's 1533-position model. Lineage: Bacteria; Pseudomonadati; Pseudomonadota; Alphaproteobacteria. The record is from RNAcentral.